CUUCAGUAAAUCUAGGGAGAAUCAGACUUAAACUGCUGAUUUGGAUAAGGUAAAGAAACACAUGUCAUACAGAAUCUGCUUUCCACUCACUAAUUUUUUAGCAUAGGAAAAAAGGCCUUUCAGAACAUCUUCAUAUAUAACAAAUCUAUUUUUUAUUCCUCUACACAUCUCCAUUAAGAAGAUGUAAUGCAGACACUGUCUUAGUGCCUGAUAUAAAACUCACUAAAGCAUAUGGAAGUAUUUCCAUGCAUUUCACUAGACUGGUUUGAAAGAAUCCUGUGUAGAGAGCAUAUUUUAUGGCUCUACAAAACAAAUAUCCUUCAGUUUUAAUAGAAGCCUUGCUGGUCUAAAGCAAGGUGUUUUAUUAGUCUGUACCUGAUGUAUUUGGUUAAUGAGAGUACAAUUUAGCAUGUCUGUUAUUAAGUCUAAAAAAAUAUAUCUUGAACUGUGGUAGGUACUUGAAAGGAAAAAAAUUCUAUAGCAGUAACAAAAGCUAUAUACUUUGCAUGGUAAUGCUAUUUAUUUUCAUUUAAAGUAAUCAGCUCUUUGGUAGAAAACUGGUCUAUAAUCAACCAUUUGGAAGUGCUUUGUUAAAGCCUUUUUUCUGUAAGGAUGAGGGACAGUUUGGAAAGCCAAGAACUAAAACCUAAUGGCCCAAUUCUUCAUUUGUCAUUCAUAUAAGCAAAAGUCAUUCCAGUGGUUCAAGGGCAUUACUUGCUUCAAUUAGGCUACUGUAGAAGAUACGCAAGUUCUGGAUUGCCCCAUGGCAUUUAAUUUGUUCUUGCAAUCCCAAAUAAGGGAAAUAAUGAAUGUGCCUUUUUUAUUUUAAUUAUGUAAAUGAGAUUGGGCAGUCUUCAUCUGGCACAAGAAGAGUGGCAAGACUCCUUAUUUCUCCUGAUCUCUGCUUAUGAAAGAAGGGCCAAGGAAACUCAUUCCUAGAGUGUAAGCUACCAAGAAAAGACUACCAUCACUGAAUCAGGUAGGCACACAAUACCUCAUUAAAUAAAAUCUUGGUGGAUUUUUGACUUUAUGUUUGG
This 1037-nucleotide long non-coding RNA is filed under the name Dromaius novaehollandiae (emu). RNAcentral describes it as "lncRNA (ENSDNVG00000016395.1)". Lineage: Eukaryota; Metazoa; Chordata; Aves; Casuariiformes; Dromaiidae. The record is from RNAcentral.